Molecule: ribosomal RNA, 855 nt
Filed under: Fusarium celtis-occidentalis
Lineage: Eukaryota; Fungi; Ascomycota; Sordariomycetes; Hypocreales; Nectriaceae
Description: eukaryotic LSU rRNA
Rfam family: Eukaryotic large subunit ribosomal RNA
Source: RNAcentral
UAAGCGGAGGAAAAGAAACCCAACAGGGAUUGCCCUAGUAACGGCGAGUGAAGCGGCAACAGCUCAAAUUUGAAAUCUGGCUCUCGGGCCCGAGUUGUAAUUUGUAGAGGAUGCUUUUGGUGAGGUGCCUUCCGAGUUCCCUGGAACGGGACGCCAUAGAGGGUGAGAGCCCCGUCUGGUUGGACACCGAGCCUCUGUAAAGCUCCUUCGACGAGUCGAGUAGUUUGGGAAUGCUGCUCUAAAUGGGAGGUAUAUGUCUUCUAAAGCUAAAUAUUGGCCAGAGACCGAUAGCGCACAAGUAGAGUGAUCGAAAGAUGAAAAGCACUUUGAAAAGAGAGUUAAAAAGUACGUGAAAUUGUUGAAAGGGAAGCGCUUGUGACCAGACUUGGGCUUGGUUGAUCAUCCAGGGUUCUCCCUGGUGCACUCCUCCAGCUCAGGCCAGCAUCAGUUUGCUUCGGGGGAUAAAGGCGUCGGGAAUGUGGCUCCCUCCGGGGAGUGUUAUAGCCCGUCGUGUAAUACCCUGGGGCGGACUGAGGUUCGCGCAUCUGCAAGGAUGCUGGCGUAAUGGUCAUCAGCGACCCGUCUUGAAACACGGACCAAGGAGUCGUCUUCGUAUGCGAGUGUUCGGGUGUCAAACCCCUACGCGUAAUGAAAGUGAACGCAGGUGAGAGCUUCGGCGCAUCAUCGACCGAUCCUGAUGUUCUCGGAUGGAUUUGAGUAAGAGCAUACGGGGCCGGACCCGAAAGAAGGUGAACUAUGCCUGUAUAGGGUGAAGCCAGAGGAAACUCUGGUGGAGGCUCGCAGCGGUUCUGACGUGCAAAUCGAUCGUCAAAUAUGGGCAUGGGGGCGAAAGAC